CCUACGGGAGGCAGCAGUGAGGAAUAUUGGUCAAUGGGCUUACGCCUGAACCAGCCAAGUAGCGUGAAGGAUGACUGCCCUACGGGUUGUAAACUUCUUUUAUAAAGGAAUAAAGUGAGGCACGUGUGCCUUUUUGUAUGUACUUUAUGAAUAAGGAUCGGCUAACUCCGUGCCAGCAGCCGCGGUAAUACGGAGGAUCCGAGCGUUAUCCGGAUUUAUUGGGUUUAAAGGGUGCGCAGGCGGAUUUUUAAGUCAGCGGUCAAAUCGUGGGGCUCAACCCCAUCCAGCCGUUGAAACUGGGGAUC
Molecule: ribosomal RNA, 305 nt
Filed under: uncultured bacterium
Lineage: Bacteria
Description: bacterial SSU rRNA
Rfam family: Bacterial small subunit ribosomal RNA
Source: RNAcentral